This 83-nucleotide ribozyme is filed under the name unclassified sequences. Its description in RNAcentral is "Twister_sister_ribozyme". It matches the Rfam family "Twister_sister_ribozyme". The record is from Rfam by way of RNAcentral.
UAAGCCCGCAAGGCCGACGGCUCCCGCCGCCGCUGGUGCAAGCCCAGCGCCCCACACAAUGGGGCGGCGCUCAUGGGUAACAA